RNAcentral lists this ribosomal RNA (356 nucleotides) under Pseudo-nitzschia fraudulenta. Its description in RNAcentral is "LSU rRNA". It matches the Rfam family "Eukaryotic large subunit ribosomal RNA", at positions 207 to 571 of the family's 3401-position model. The record is from RNAcentral. Lineage: Eukaryota; Bacillariophyta; Bacillariophyceae; Bacillariales; Bacillariaceae.
AGAGGGUGAAACUCCCGUCCGCCUGGUAGAAUGAGUCUUUGUCAACGAGUCGAGUUGUUUGGGAUUGCAGCUCUAAUUUGGUGGUAAAUUCCAUCUAAAGCUAAAUAUUGGUGGGAGACCGAUAGCGUACAAGUACCGUGAGGGGAAAGAUGCAAAGAAACUUUGAAAAGAGAGUUAAGGAGUACCUGAAAUUGCUGAAACGGAAGCGAAGGAAACCAGUGUUUGUGGUUCAUAGUUUCCUUGGCCACUUGUGGUUUGGGCGGCUGUGAGCUUGCGUGGGUUUGGGUUGGUUGAUCCCUUUGGAAGACGCGCAGUCAGAGUUGAUGUCUCUGAGACCAAGGCACACAGGGGGGAUA